UUGAGGCUAGGAGUCUGAGACCAGCCUGAGCCACAUAGUGAGACCCCAUCUCUACCAAAAAAAUUAGCUGGGCGUGAUGGCACACACUUGUAGUCCCAGCUACAGGAAGCUGUGGUGGGAAGCUUGAUGCUGGGGAAGUCGAGUCUUCCCCAGUGAGCCGAGAUCACAACGCUGCAGUCCAGCCUUGGUGAUGGGGUGAGACCCUGUCUCAAAAGGAAACAAAAGUCUUCCCUCGAUUCCCCCACCAUAGAGAACCCUACUUUUUUACUUUAUAUACCAUUAUCUCCUCCAAACAGGUCUAUCCUGCAAGUUUUCAGCUUUCUUUUCCUCGCUUUUCUCUCUCUCUCUCACUCUUCCUCCUCCUUCCCUCCCUCCGUCCAUCAACAAAUACUCAUUUGAGCGUCUGCUGUAGCCUGGACACCGUCCUGAGAGUGAGACAUUCAGCGUCUACAGAACAGAGGAAUGUCCCUGGGACGGCAGGUGGAAACACGCAAGUUCCCAAGGCUGGAAAGUGCUGGUCUUGGUGGAGCCGGUGGUGUGGCAGAGGAGUGAGAGGAAGGAGGGCUGAGGCAGGAGGCCAGGAGCAGGGGCUGGGAGGGGACACAGCGGAGGGCACCAGGCCACCAGGAGGAUGUGCAUUUAGCUCUGAGUGCGGUGGGAGCCUUUGGAGGGUUCUGAGCAGAGGGGCAGGAUCGGACGCAUCCUCUAGAAGGAUGGAACUCUGGGGGAUGGCCUGGGUGGGGGCGGGGAACCCAAUGAGAGGGCUGGUGCCUGACAUCCAGAGACUCCAGAGCCACGGAAUGGUGAGCACAGAACCUCUCUGGUGCAGUCCUGUGAAUGGCUGACCUGCGGCUGCAGUCAGGAGCAGAGGGGACUGAGGUCUGAGGGGUUCAAUGACUCUCCCAAGGGCACAGCAGGGAAGGGGAGAGGCCGGUCCCAGAAGCCAGGCCUCCCUCACAGCCCACAGCCCCCAGCUCACUGACCCAACCCCCAGCUUGCUGACCCAGCCAUCUCCCUGCACUUGGGGCCCUCAGGGUCUCGGCUCCUGGGCCAGCUUCUGUCCCAUUGACCUCCCUCCACCUUCCCUUCCAGUUAGGUCCUCCCAUCUCAAAACCAAGGAAACUGAGGCCUCAGACCAGGAGCCUGCUGAAGACAGGGAGUAGGCGGGGGGAAUCUGGCUCAUGGUAGCACAAAGACUCUUUUUCUUUUUUUGAAAGACUGGGUCUCACUCUGACACCCAGCCUGGAGUGCAGUGGCACGAUCUCAGCUCACUGCAACUUCUGCCUCCUGGGCUCAAGUGAUCCUCCCACCUGAGCCUCCUUCGUAGCUGGGACCACAGGUGUGCACCACCACACCCAGCUAAUUGUUGUAUUUUUUGUAGAGACGUGGCUUCUGCAAGCUGCUCCUUCUCCUUCUCUUCUGUGCUCUGUGGCCAGGAAGGCUCGACCAUGCCAGAUGAACUUGAACAGGGGGAAGGGCUGCCACCCAUAGGGGAGGGGACGGGGUCUGCAUGCCCCACACCCAGGGCAAGAGAGGAAGGAGGAAGGCAGACCCGGGCUGGAGCUACCUCCACUGCCUCACUCCUUUUUCUUUUUUUUGAGACAGACUCUUACUCUGUCUCCCAGGCUGGAGUGCAGUGGCACGACUUCGGCUCACUGCAACUUCUGCCUCCUGGGCCCAAGCAAUUCUCAUGCCUCAGCUUCCUGAGUAGCUGGGAUUACAGGCACCCACCAUCACACCAGGCUAAUCUUUGUAUUUUUAGUAGAGACGGGGUUUCACCGUGUUGUCCAGGCUGGUCUCAAACUCCUGAGCUCAGAUGAUCCGCCCACCUCGGCUUCCCACAGUGCUGGGAUCACAGGCGUGAACCACCACGCCCAGCCCAUUGCUUCACCCCUCACUAGCCCCCUUCACCUCUCAUCUUGAUAUUGGUGGGUGGGCUAACAGGGGGACCAUAAGGAACACCCAGCCCAGCCUGGGGGACCCUGGCUUGGAGCAGCUUCAGAGCAAAGGCUCUCAGCCUCUUAGGACAGAUGGAGCAUGAGGGAGGCCUGUGGAGUGCAGGGGGCAGGGGUGGGGGGAUGGUUUUAAGGGCCCCUCAGACCAUGUCCCAGGGACUACCACUUCCCACUAGGAACAUUGCCUUGCUCCCCCACCCCCUUGAAGAGACCUUCCCGGCAGAGAGCACAGCAGAGCCGUCAGGCAUGUGUGCACCCACGCCCAAACACGGCCGGCAAACACAUCCCAGGCUGGACCUAGUGAAUGCUAUUUGGGGCCAGAGGAAGUGCCAAGGCCUCCUCCCUGUUGCUCCCGUCUCAGGUCAUCUGCUGGGUUGGCAGGAGGACGCCUGCUCUUCUCCGAGGCCUCACCCUCCCAGGCUGGAGGAGAGCCAUCUGCCCCUAAGCAGGUCGUGUUCACUUUCUGGAGACGGCUUGAGUGGACCCGAAGCCCCCCAUGCUCUUUCCAGCAGGUCUGGAGAGCCAGACGUUCUCAUCAGGAGAUGGCAUGGAUGCUGGCCUCACACAUCCCUGGGAACUGACCCCCUGCCGAAGCUCCAGCAGCCAGGAGAACAUCCCUCCUGGGCAGUCUCUGUUAGCAGGGAGCCAGCAGCUGUAGGGGAAGGUGGGGAGCGGGUCUGAGGCUGGCUGUCUGGGAGGUUUCUGUAGUCAGGUGACACGCGGCUCUCAGAGAGGAGCAGGCAGCCCAUCUGUGCCUCCCCAUCCAGCUAGGCCUCAGACUCUGGGUCACAAUGGUCACCCAGCCCUGGUGUCCCUCCCCAGCAUCCACCGGUGGGGCUGUUCAGCACAGGACAUCCUGAAGAUGACAGUGGAUUUCAUUAUUAAUCUUCCUCAUUAGGGGCCAGGCUUCUCAGCCUUCACACAGUUGACAUUUGGGCCGGAUCCCUGUUUGCGGGGGGCUCUCCUGGGCACUGUAGGGUGUUUAGCAGCACCCCUGGCCUGGACCCACGGGAUGCCACCCUCACCCUCUCCAAUUAAAACAAACAGGGUCUCACUCUGUCAGCCAGGUGUGAUCUCAAGCUAUUCUCCUGCCUCAGCCUCCCAAGUAAUGCCAAGCUGGGAUUAUAGGCAUCUGCCACCACGCCUGGCUAAUUUUUGUGUUUUUAGUGGAGACGGGGUUUCACCAUAUUGGCCAGGCUGGUCUUGAACUCCUACCUCAAGUGAUCUGCCCACCUCGGCCCCCAAAAGUGCUGGAAUUGCAGGCAUGAGCCACUGCACCCGGCCAAAAAAGACUUUUUUAAAGUGUCCAUGCUGUGGACACUGUCUCAUGCCUGUCCUGUCAGCAUUUUAGGAGGCUGAGGCAGGAGGAUGGUGUGAAGCCAGGAAGUCGAGACCAGCCUGGGCAACACAGCAAGACCCCCACCUCGAUAAAGAGUUAAAGAAAUUAGGGCUGGGUGUGGUGGCUCACACCUGUAAUCCCAGCACUUUGGGAGGCCAAGGCGGGCGAAUCACCUGAGGUCAGGAGUUUGGACAAGCUGGACCAACAUGGCAAAACCCCAUCUCUACUAAAGUAUAAAAUUAGCUGGGCAUGGAGCUGCAUGCCUAUAAUCCAGCUAUAUGGGAGGCUGAGGCAGGAGAAUCACUUGAACCCGGGAGGCAGAGGUUGCAGUGAGCCGAGAUCACGCCAUUGCACUCCAGCCUUGGCAACGAGAGUGAAACUCCAUCAGUGGGCAAGGCCAGGUACAGCGGCUCACGCCUGUAAUGUGCAUUUUGGGAGGCCAAGGCAGGUGAAUCACUUGAGGUCAGGAGUUCCAGAUCAGCCUGGCUAGCAUGGCGAAAUCCUGUCUCUACUAAAAAUAGAAAAAAUUUGCUGGGCGUGGUGGCAUGUCUGUAGCCCCAGCUACCAGGGAGCCUGAGUCAUGAGAAUCAUUUGAACCCAGGAGACAGAGUUUGCAGUGAUCUGAGAUCAAGCCUCUGUACUCCGGGCAACAGAGUGAGAGUCUGCCAGAAAGAAAGAAAGAGAGAAAGGGAGAAAAUGAAAGAAAAGGGAGGAAGGGAGGUAGGGAGGAAGAGAGAGAGAGAGGGGAAAGGAGGGAAGGAAAGAAAGGAAGAAAGAGAAAGCAGAGAAGGAAGGAAAGGAAAGAAAGAAAGAAAAAGAACAAAAGAAAGAGAAAGGAAAAGAAAAGAAAAGUUAGCUGGGCAUGGUGGCACAAGCCUGUAGUCUCAGCUAUUCGAGCUAUUUGGGAGGCUGAGGUAGGAGGAUCACCUGAGCCCAGGAGUUCAAGGCUUCAGUGAGCUAUGAUUGGGUCACUGCACUCCAGCCUGGGCAACAGAGCAAGAGACUGACUCUUUAAAAAAAAAGUUUCCAUAAUAAAACAGCAUGUAUAAUAUUUCUUUUAUGUGAGGUCAAAUAUGUGGGUCUAGAAACAAGUAUACAGACCAGGUGAGGGGGUGACACCUGCCAUCCUGGCACUUUGAGAAGCCACGGCAGGGGGAUUGCUUGAGCCCAGGAGUUUGAGACCAGCCAGGGCAACAUGGCACAACCCUGCCUCUACAAAAUAUAUGAAAAUUAGCUGGGUGUGGUGGCGCAUGCCUGCAGUUCCAGCUACUUGGGAGGCUGAGGCAGGAGGAUCACCCUGGUUGCUUGAACCCAGGACAUGGAGGUUACAGUGAGCUGAGAUCACGUCUGGGUGACAGAGUGAGACCCUGUCUCAAAAAAAGAAAAAAAUAAAGAGGCAUACAAAGGUAUUCACUGAAGGGUUAGUGGGUAUGCCUGGGCAGUGGGGACUCAGGUAGGUGGGUGUCUUCUGUCCUGCUCCGUGGCAGCAGGCGGUAUAACGUUCAGCCCUGAGGGGGGCAGCCCUGGGUGGGGGGUACAGAUGUUUCCCACACUUUGUUUAACACUAUUGAAGGCUUCAUGGCCACAGGCAUCAGGGUUCACUUUUUAAAGAUCCUGCUCCACCUUCCAGCCACUCUUGGUCCAUGCCCCUCUUUGGGUUUUUGAUUGUUUGUUGCUCAGGCUGGAGUGCAGUGAUGCCAUCUCGGCUCACUGCAACCUCCCCUCCCGGGUACAAGCAAUUCUCCUGCCUCAGCCUCCUGAGUAGCUGGGAUCACAGGCAUGUGCCACCACACCCAGCUAAUUUUUUGUGUUUUUAGUAGAGACAGGGUUUUGUCAUCUUGGCCAGGCUGGUCUUGAACUCCUGACCUUGUGAUCCGCCUGCCUCAGCCACCCAAAGUGCUUACAGGCAUGAGCCACCUCGCUCGGCCAUCCCUUUGGGUUUUGUUUUGCACAGUCCAUUGGUAUAUUUCAUGCCAUCCCACAGGCCAUCUUUGGGAAAGUGGGGCUUUGGCCUGUCUCCGUCAUUUCCAUCUCCUAUCACCCCAACCUGCCUCCCCUCCGCAGACAGGCACCCUGCAGGGCAAAAGCAGCCAUGAGCCAGGCAGGGCACCUCCCUUUAGAAAACCUGCUUGGAGUCCAGCCUCUGCACACCCCUUGCGCAGGGCACAACCUUCGCAGCCCCUGACAGCAGCCCCAGAGCCAGCCCUCUUGCCAUGGUCAUGUCUCCCAUGACUCCAGAAGAAGAGAGGCAGAGAGGUUGUCCUGGUGGGGAGCAAGAAGCCCAUGACAUCAUUGACUCCAUAGAGAGAGCCUGUAGAGCCAAGGUUGUUCAGCUGUUCUGCCGAAGCUAAACCACUUGGAGCAGGUGACUCAGACUGAAGGCACAUGAACCCUUCCUCCAGGGAGGCCGCCCUGAUGCAGCAGUGGUUAAUCCCAGAGCCAGGCAGCCUCUGCAGCCUUUGCUUCACGUGGGCUGGAACGGCAGUGCCUCUACUCCCCGUGGCCAGGUUUUGCCUUCUCUUUCACUCAGAAGCACCUCCUAAACAGCAAGGGCAGUUUGAGCAGCCCCCUGAGCCCUCCUUCAAAGAGGCUCCUGCAGCUGGGACACCCGAGCCAAGAGUUGAUGCCGCUGAGCUCUGCUGUCUCUCCCCACCUGCUCCCCACCUGUCUGUCCCCACACCUGCAACGCCAGCUCUCCUGGAUCCUCCUGUCGCCUGGUUCCUGUGAGGACAACGAGGAACUGGUGAGAUGCCAGGGCUGGAUGCUCCAGGCCUGGUGCUCGUGUUUCCUCAUGCCCCGGCUAUUUCCUUUUGGCCCUGGGCACGUGGUCAUGUGCUUCCUUUCAUGGGCGGGUUGGGGACCAGGGCCAGUGAGCAGAGCUGCCUCCAUGGCUUCUCCACCGCUGGCUCUCCCCAGGAAGCAGCCUCAGCUGUCGUUCUGGAGACUGGGGCUGGCCACCAGGGAGGGGUGGACAGUGCAGGAGCCGGCUGCCCGGCUCAGCAGGGAUUUGUGGAGGCUGACUGGCAUGGUUUCGGGUCCGCCUUGCCUGGAAGCCUGGCCAGGGGUGGCUCAGGUUUCCCGCCAGCUGGGCUUCCUCCUCCUCCGUGUGAGUGACGCCCCACCGCCAUGAUGUCAUCACCUCAUACAAACAGAAGGGAGACUGGCUUGGUGGAGCUGGCAGCUGUCCCACGCUGAGUGCAGCAGUUCUCUGUGAUAGGGAGCCUGCAGCCAGCAGCAGCAUAAGGCCCGAGCCAGACUCUUGUCACCUCCAGUCUCAAACCCAGCCUCGUGUCCUUGGAAACAGCUUCGGGAAGCAUGGGACAGAUUUCUUGUUCUCACGUCUGCCUGCUGACUAGAACCUCUUAAGGAUAAAGCCUCAUGUCAAACUCAUUCAACAAGUAUUUCUGGGUACCAGCCAUGGGCUGCGCAGGAGCUGGGGAAAUGGAUGGGAGGUGGCCCCCUUUUUCCUGCAUCGAAAACCAUCAAUAUGAAAGAGUCAGAGCCCACUGGAGAGUGCGCUGGGUGCCGUGGCCAGUGUGACCCAGGGCAAUGGAUGGGUGCCAGCAAGGUUGGGGUGGUCUGGGGGGCUGUCUGGGAUGUCUCCAGUAGGACCCGGAGGUUGUGUCUGGGUGAUGCAGGUGGAGGAGGCAGACACUGCUUCAGACCAGGGAGCAAGCGGCACUGGGAGCCCAAAGGCCGGAGGACACCCAGGCCUCCAGGUGGUCAGGUUGGCUGAACCAGAGCUGGGUGGGGGCAGGGCCUGGGCUGGUGGCAGAACCAGAGCUGGGUGGGGGCAGGGCCUGGGCUGGUGGCACAGGGGUGGGGGAGGGGGGGCCGAAGGUGAGUACAGGGAGAUGGAGACAGCAGCAGCUGUUGGUGGUGACUCACUCCUGCGCCGGAUGAUUGAAAACACAUGUUCUCACUGAGAGGCAAGCUUAUUACUCAGAGCCGAGGGUUCUUGGGUGACAUGGACGUCAACAGGGAGGGGGAGGGGAGGGGGGGGAGGG
This is a non-coding RNA of Callithrix jacchus (white-tufted-ear marmoset), 7301 nucleotides long. Lineage: Eukaryota; Metazoa; Chordata; Mammalia; Primates; Cebidae. The record is from RefSeq and is a predicted model, not a curated record.